UUUUAUUUAUCAACAAAUGUAAAAUUUAUUGAUCAAAAUUUAUAUACAAGUACACCGGACAUACACGAGUAAAACAAAGCAAAUGAUUCAUACAAUUACUCCAGGCAAACCUAGGUAAACAAAAAAGCAAAGAAGUACAACAAAAAUCAAUAAGCCAACACUCAAAAUGAAUCAGGACUACGGAUACAAAUAAAACAUUACUUUGUAUAUGUGUCUUAAUUUGUCUCACAAUACAAUUCACGUGUGGUCUAAAAUCUUUAAAAAAAAUUCUAUUCGGAGAUAACCAAAUGUAGUAAACGGUACUUGCAAGUGCAAUCCUUUUGGCCUUGUUUAGCCACGAUGUCCCACGAACCUCCUUCUUUAUCCACUUCAACACACUAACAAGUGUCGACAUAGAUCUUCUAAUGCCAAGCCACUGUUUGAUCCUCCCCCAUAAGGAUGAUGGAACGAACAUUCAAAGAACAAGUGUUGGCCUGUUUCCUCUGUUUGCCCACACAGAACACAAUUCUAGUCAAUCUCUAAGUACGACAAUUUGUCUUUGGUUAGAAGUUUAGAUUGAACACCUAACCAAAGCAAAAAUGAGUGCUCCGGUGUUAUGCAAGAACUCCAAACAUCAGCUACCCAAAUCUUCUUAGUACCUCUCAGCCGAAAGUAAUCAUAGGCCUUUCUAGUGCAAAAUUUAUCCCCUGUAGACCAGGCCGUAAGUCUGUCCAUAGUUUUCUAACGAAAUCAACAUCAGUUCGUCCCUAGUAUCUGCCUGAAUAGCCGCAACAUGUGUAGGUUGAGAAGUCAACCCUGAAGAAGUGCUCGACUCUCCUGCCAAGAAGUCUUUUGAUAACUUGUGCGGAUUGAUGAGGCAAGUCUUGAAAAGGUGCUUGAGUCUCCUGCCGAGGAGGUUCUUCUUGUAAAUAGCUCAUACGAGUUGAGGGAAAUGACCCGCGUGGGUUGAGAAGGAAAUCAAACAGGUUCUAGAAACUUAAUGAACUCAAGACAUGAAAGUAUUAGUCUUUUUUAAUACCUAUAACGAGUGGCUUACUUUAUAUUAAUUAAACUGAAACAAAAUCCAUAUAAAAUGCCAGAUGACUCUUUAGAGUACAAAUGUGCCUUCUUGAAUUAGAGAAUCAUUUUUGCAUCGAACCGCUUCAUUUAAGAACUUAAGUUUUCAGAAAGAUGCUAUAUUUAUUCUUUACAUUAAUCUUCAACAUAUCUCCUCAUAUGUACUUUGAAAUCCCUUUUUUUUUUCUUAAUUUUUUUUUUUUUUAUGAAAAUCUAAUACUGCAUGAGACUUAAAUUGAUGAUUUUUACUUAGUCUAAUAUUUUGCGUUGAAAUACUUAUCUUAAACCUUUUUUUUUUUUUUUUUUUUGAAGAAAUGAGAAACUUGAGUAUAUUUUCACAGUGUUUAUAAGCAAUUUAAAUUAUAAAUAGAUAAAAAUAAGUG
Molecule: long non-coding RNA, 1439 nt
Filed under: Olea europaea subsp. europaea
Lineage: Eukaryota; Viridiplantae; Streptophyta; Magnoliopsida; Lamiales; Oleaceae
Source: RNAcentral